RNAcentral lists this ribosomal RNA (556 nucleotides) under Bifidobacterium sp. HGH0117. RNAcentral describes it as "bacterial SSU rRNA". It matches the Rfam family "Bacterial small subunit ribosomal RNA", at positions 67 to 632 of the family's 1533-position model. Lineage: Bacteria; Bacillati; Actinomycetota; Actinomycetes; Bifidobacteriales; Bifidobacteriaceae. The record is from RNAcentral.
CGGGAUCCAUCAGCUUGCUUGGUGGUGAGAGUGGCGAACGGGUGAGUAAUGCGUGACCGACCUGCCCCAUGCUCCGGAAUAGCUCCUGGAAACGGGUGGUAAUGCCGGAUGUUCCACAUGAUCGCAUGUGAUUGUGGGAAAGAUUCUAUCGGCGUGGGAUGGGGUCGCGUCCUAUCAGCUUGUUGGUGAGGUAACGGCUCACCAAGGCUUCGACGGGUAGCCGGCCUGAGAGGGCGACCGGCCACAUUGGGACUGAGAUACGGCCCAGACUCCUACGGGAGGCAGCAGUGGGGAAUAUUGCACAAUGGGCGCAAGCCUGAUGCAGCGACGCCGCGUGAGGGAUGGAGGCCUUCGGGUUGUAAACCUCUUUUGUUUGGGAGCAAGCCUUCGGGUGAGUGUACCUUUCGAAUAAGCGCCGGCUAACUACGUGCCAGCAGCCGCGGUAAUACGUAGGGCGCAAGCGUUAUCCGGAUUUAUUGGGCGUUAAAGGGCUCGUAGGCGGCUCGUCUCGUCCGGUGUGAAAGUCCAUCGCUUAACGGUGGAUCUGCGCCGGGUA